GUCUUGGUGUAAUUACUUUUGUAAUAAUAAAGUAAUUACGUUUUCACGUGUUGUGGUGUUCAAAACAUAUAUUAAAAAAAUAAUAUUAUAUGUACAUGUUCUCCUAGACCUCAUGCUUUCACUAUUCCAUUUGGACUUUUGAUACAUCUAGAAACUACUUUUGAUACAUUUGUUGUGUUGUUGUUGGUCUUUACUAUUUUUUUUUUAGUUUGCUAGCCACUUUCCCAACUUCUGGCCUUUGUGUUUUAAACUUUAGCUGUUAUUUAACUUUUGUGAGUUGUAGUUUCUAAGGACUCUAUAGUGAGUUUGUUAUUUGGUUUAAUUUUUUUUAACAAGGUUUGAGUUCCCCUGUGUUUGAUUGGGCUCAUUUGAGUGAUUGCUCCAUUCUAAGAUGUUGCAAUACCAAUGAAGUUGCUUCAAAAACACUUGAAAGAGACUGGAGGGAAAGUUCUAACUCCCUUUGCUGAACCAAAUGGCUAUUAUAUAGGUCAUGCCAAGGCAAUGUUUAUAGGCUUUGGAAUCUCUCAAGAGAGAGGUGGAGGAUGCUAUCUAAGCUAGCUUUUUUGAAAAGAUUAGCCCGCAACUAGAAGUUUAAAGGCUUGGCCAGGUGAACUCUUGAAGUUUCAACCAUACAAGGUAAUUAAACA
This is a long non-coding RNA of Humulus lupulus (European hop), 647 nucleotides long. RefSeq lists it as uncharacterized. NCBI's taxonomy places the organism in Eukaryota, Viridiplantae, Streptophyta, Magnoliopsida, Rosales, Cannabaceae. The transcript has 3 exons. The record is from RefSeq and is a predicted model, not a curated record.